Molecule: ribosomal RNA, 466 nt
Filed under: uncultured bacterium
Lineage: Bacteria
Description: partial 16S ribosomal RNA
Rfam family: Bacterial small subunit ribosomal RNA
Source: RNAcentral
GAUGAACGCUGGCGGCGUGCUUAACACAUGCCAGUCGAACGAUGAAGCCCAGCUUGCUGGGUGGAUUAGUGGCGAACGGGUGAGUAACACGUGAGUAACCUGCCCUUAACUCUGGGAUAAGCCUGGGAAACUGGGUCUAAUACCGGAUAGGAGCGUCCACCGCAUGGUGGGUGUUGGAAAGAUUUAUCGGUUUUGGAUGGACUCGCGGCCUAUCAGCUUGUUGGUGAGGUAAUGGCUCACCAAGGCGACGACGGGUAGCCGGCCUGAGAGGGUGACCGGCCACACUGGGACUGAGACACGGCCCAGACUCCUACGGGAGGCAGCAGUGGGGAAUAUUGCACAAUGGGCGCAAGCCUGAUGCAGCGACGCCGCGUGAGGGAUGACGGCCUUCGGGUUGUAAACCUCUUUCAGUAGGAAAGAAGCGAAAGUGACGGUACCUGCAGAAGAAGCACCGGCUAACUACGUG